RNAcentral lists this ribosomal RNA (700 nucleotides) under Cupriavidus metallidurans. RNAcentral describes it as "bacterial SSU rRNA". It matches the Rfam family "Bacterial small subunit ribosomal RNA", at positions 89 to 785 of the family's 1533-position model. The record is from RNAcentral. Lineage: Bacteria; Pseudomonadati; Pseudomonadota; Betaproteobacteria; Burkholderiales; Burkholderiaceae.
CGGCGAGUGGCGAACGGGUGAGUAAUACAUCGGAACGUACCCUGUUGUGGGGGAUAACUAGUCGAAAGAUUAGCUAAUACCGCAUACGACCUGAGGGUGAAAGUGGGGGACCGCAAGGCCUCACGCAGCAGGAGCGGCCGAUGUCUGAUUAGCUAGUUGGUGGGGUAAAGGCCCACCAAGGCGACGAUCAGUAGCUGGUCUGAGAGGACGAUCAGCCACACUGGGACUGAGACACGGCCCAGACUCCUACGGGAGGCAGCAGUGGGGAAUUUUGGACAAUGGGGGCAACCCUGAUCCAGCAAUGCCGCGUGUGUGAAGAAGGCCUUCGGGUUGUAAAGCACUUUUGUCCGGAAAGAAAUCGCGCUGGUUAAUACCUGGCGUGGAUGACGGUACCGGAAGAAUAAGCACCGGCUAACUACGUGCCAGCAGCCGCGGUAAUACGUAGGGUGCGAGCGUUAAUCGGAAUUACUGGGCGUAAAGCGUGCGCAGGCGGUUUUGUAAGACAGGCGUGAAAUCCCCGGGCUUAACCUGGGAAUUGCGCUUGUGACUGCAAGGCUAGAGUGCGUCAGAGGGGGGUAGAAUUCCACGUGUAGCAGUGAAAUGCGUAGAGAUGUGGAGGAAUACCGAUGGCGAAGGCAGCCCCCUGGGACGUGACUGACGCUCAUGCACGAAAGCGUGGGGAGCAAACAGGAUUAGAUAC